AUUUUGGCGACUACUUUCACCGGUUUUAGAUUUUCCUUUACCGAACAUAUUUUUCAACGAAAAUGCCAUAAUAAUUAUAAUUAAGCAAAAUAAUAACACACAAAAAUAUUCUUAGCACGUAAGAGUUGAAACGAGUUUACCGGAUUGACAGACAACUUCUUGAAAAUUGAAAAUCGUUGAAAUUAAACACUUGAAAACUUCAAUUCAA
RNAcentral lists this long non-coding RNA (208 nucleotides) under Nicotiana benthamiana. Its description in RNAcentral is "long non-coding RNA (NBEN_LNC023855)". Lineage: Eukaryota; Viridiplantae; Streptophyta; Magnoliopsida; Solanales; Solanaceae. The record is from RNAcentral.